Non-coding RNA from Schistosoma rodhaini, 46 nucleotides. Lineage: Eukaryota; Metazoa; Platyhelminthes; Trematoda; Strigeidida; Schistosomatidae. The record is from Rfam.
GCACUGCUGAGGAGUCCCAUAAUAGAGCGAAACGGCCGUCCAGUGC